This 1081-nucleotide long non-coding RNA is filed under the name Mus musculus (house mouse). RNAcentral describes it as "long non-coding RNA chr8:3455523-3456604". The record is from RNAcentral. Lineage: Eukaryota; Metazoa; Chordata; Mammalia; Rodentia; Muridae.
AGGUCUGAGUUCCAGGUCUACCACAUUUAGACCUGGCUGAGGUCCAGAAUCAUCCCUUAGCCAGGUUUCCCUGCUAUACCCUACCCUGAAGUACUAACAACAGGCAGGACCAAGUCCUACGCUUAUGGUUCUUAGUCUCCAGAGCCCAUCGUCCUAAGAAACCACUACAAAGACCCUGCCCUGUGAUACUUAGGUAGACAGUACCUUAGAUGGUCUGCAGACUGCCAGGCCAUCCCCACCUCUGUGGAACAGGGAAGUGUCAGAGGCUGCUGGCAUGAGCAAGAGCCCUCCAGAGCCAAGACCUAAGCACUCAUGAGCUCAGGGAGCGACUGUGGGCGUAGUUACCAAGAAUCCAACCGCGAGCUAGUAAGACAACAGGGUGCUGAAAGUGGUGGUCUCUGACGACUUCCGGGUGCCAGGAAUGGAGCAGGGUCCCCCUUGUCCUCAUCCCUAGGCCUAUGGACCCCAGCACCCGAAUAGCUCUUACUCUUGUCCUUCUGUUUCUAUCUUGUGUCCGGAGUGUGUCUAUAUCUUCCAGACCUCAUUGUGCCAUGUUGCUAAUCAGUGUUUUGUGGUUUGUUUUGUUGGUUUGGGUUUUGUUGUUGUUGUUGUUUUGUUUCUGUUUUUGUACUGAGAUGUAUCUGAGCACUUUAGAAAAGCUGACUUUUAAGUUCCCACUCUGUGAAGAGAACAUUCCAGUACCUAACAAGAGCUGGGUGGGCUCACCACCAGACACCAUGACUUUUUGGAUUUAGAAGUUCAAAUGGUUUCCACUUGGCCCUGGGAAGGAUUCAGUGUAUCCCCCACCAGGUGGCCAGGUGGUUCUCAGCUGUGUACUGUAAACAGUAGGACAGUGUCAUCAGUUACCUGUCACCAGCAGCCAUGGGUCCCUUCCUGGCAGAUCUCAUUUGUGAAGAUGGUGAGCCAGCAGCAUUCAAUCUCCCUUGUCAAUCGUGUCCAUGAUCUUCGCCUACCCCUGAUUAUUUUCACAGCGAUAGCAGAGCAUCCUGGCAACAGGGUAUUCUGGAACCACGCUAGAACUUGUGACCAGAUUCUAGCAAUAAAAUUAUCCAGAGCAUCU